RNAcentral lists this transfer RNA (68 nucleotides) under Leptopilina syphax. RNAcentral's name for it is "tRNA-His". Lineage: Eukaryota; Metazoa; Arthropoda; Insecta; Hymenoptera; Figitidae. The record is from RNAcentral.
AUUUAAAUAAUUUAAAUUUAAAAUAUUGAUUUGUGGAAUCAAAAAUAUAUCUAAAAAUAUUUUAAAUU